CCCUUAGAUGUUCUGGGCCGCACGCGCGCUACACUGAUGAAUUCAACGAGCACUAACCUGUGCCGAAAGGUUCGGGUAAUCUUGUGAAAUUUCAUCGUGAUGGGGAUUGAUUAUUGCAAUUUUUAAUCAUAAACGAGGAAUGCCUAGUAAGCGUGAGUCAUCAGCUCACGUUGAUUACGUCCCUGUCCUUUGUACACACCGCCCGUCGCUCCUACCGAUUGAAUGUGCCAGUGAAAAGUUCGGAUUGGAGAUAGGAGACGGCAACGUAUCCUAUUUCCGAGAAAAUCUUUAAACUUUCCCAUUUAGAGGAAGGAGAAGUCGUAACA
This 326-nucleotide ribosomal RNA is filed under the name uncultured eukaryote. Its description in RNAcentral is "partial 18S ribosomal RNA". It matches the Rfam family "Eukaryotic small subunit ribosomal RNA", at positions 1470 to 1796 of the family's 1831-position model. The record is from RNAcentral.